UAUGAGAUCGGACCUAACAUGAUGUCCACAGAAAGGCAAAUGUUCACAUCUUCUGGAAGACAUCAUAAACUCCUGUCUGCAGGCAGGUUGAGUGUCUUACCUGUCUGCUCUCUCCUCCUCAUCCAGCUGCAGCGUGUUCUCGGCUGCAGCGGGCGAAACCAGGAUCACACCUGGUGGAAUGUCUGUGGGAGAUGUUGUCAUGGCCGUCAUGUCUGUAGUCCCCGUGUCAGUCACUGUCACACAGUGAACUUCUUCUUCUUGAUUCUGGGUUGGGAACAGGAAACAGGACUUUAAUGACACUACAGCUGCAUGGGGAGACAUUUUCCCGUUCGGAUGAAGUCCUCCAAGCUGAUGUCGAGAGACUCGAACACCAUGGCCUUCCCAACACUGGUAUCAAACCAGCCUAAGAACUGGAUGAUGUUGGACUGGUCCAGUUUCUGGCACAUUAACUUUUCCAUUGUGGAAACCUGCAGA
This is a long non-coding RNA of Centropristis striata (black sea bass), 474 nucleotides long. RefSeq lists it as uncharacterized. The transcript has 3 exons. NCBI's taxonomy places the organism in Eukaryota, Metazoa, Chordata, Actinopteri, Perciformes, Serranidae. The record is from RefSeq and is a predicted model, not a curated record.